UACGUAGGUGGCAAGCGUUGUCCGGAAUCACUGGGCGUAAAGGGUGCGUAGGCGGGUCUUUAAGUCAGGGGUGAAAUCCUGGAGCUCAACUCCAGAACUGCCUUUGAUACUGAGAAGCUUGAGUCCGGGAGAGGUGAGUGGAACUGCGAGUGUAGAGGUGAAAUUCGUAGAUAUUCGCAAGAACACCAGUGGCGAAGGCGGCUCACUGGCCCGGUACUGACGCUGAGGUGCGAAGGCUAGGGUAGCAAACAGG
This 253-nucleotide ribosomal RNA is filed under the name uncultured bacterium. RNAcentral's name for it is "partial 16S ribosomal RNA". It matches the Rfam family "Bacterial small subunit ribosomal RNA", at positions 524 to 776 of the family's 1533-position model. The record is from RNAcentral.